GCCUGGGUGGCUCAGUCGGUUGAGCGUCUGACUUCGGCUCAGGUCAUGAUCCUGCGGUUCGUGAGUUCGAGCCCCGCGUCGGGCU
Felis catus (domestic cat) is the source of this 85-nucleotide non-coding RNA. The record is from Rfam. NCBI's taxonomy places the organism in Eukaryota, Metazoa, Chordata, Mammalia, Carnivora, Felidae.